GAAUCAUUUGAGUCAGUUUGGGGAUCGCGAAUCAUUUGAAUCAGUUCGGGAGUUCAAAGCGGGAUCGCGAAUCAUUUGAGUCAGUUUGGGGAUCGCGAAUCAUUUGAAUCAGUUCGGGAGUUCGUAGCGGGUACAUCUUUGUGUACUGACUCAACUUAAACACUCUCUGUACUGUCAGGAAUUUUAUCUUCUUCUGAGGGUGGAUUGACAAAAAAAACAACAAAAAUAAAACCGCUGGAUGUGACUAUAGUGGAUUGCAGGUGUGUUUGUGACAUGUCAGCGUUUGAUAAGCAGAUGGCCCGCGUGUCUGUACCUCCUUACCGUGGGGACGGCAUCAGUGACCCGGUGCAUUGUGGGUAGAGAGCGGGUGUCAGCAGUCUUUCCGAACGCCACGCUCUAAUGAAUAAUAAUCCCGUGCGUGUGACAGACGGCGAGGGGGAGUUUAGGGACGGGGCGAAACUUGAAGGCGAUGCUAAUUCAGUAAUUCCACCAACUCCUCGGACGGAUGUUUUUGUCAUUUCUGGACGAGCUCCAAAGUGGAGGGAGGGGUGACGUUCCCUUUGAUGAAGAGGCACGCUCUCAUUAAUAACGUGGUCGGGUCAACACAACCUCUCUUGUCUGAAUAUAUGAGAUUCCUUCUGUAGUUAUACAGUAGGUUUGAGAUGUCCCUGUGCGGCUGAACGCUCCACCUGUGUGUUUACACACGGAUUCGUAUCACAGCAUCACCGAAACACAGGAAAACAAAGACGGGACGGAGUCACGCCGAGGUCAAACACAACAGAUUCUCUCUAAAUGACUUUCAGUCUAAAGAGAGUCAGAGAAAUCACGUUUACUUUUACGAGAGGCUCAUAGCAAUCAUACUGUAUAUUAAAAACGAAAGCACUGUCCUGUCGUCAUUCCUGCUGCAAUCGCAUGCAACUCUCAGCUGAGGUCAGAGGUCAGAGAGUUUGUGCUUUUUUGUCUUUUUGUCAUUCUUAUUAGUGAAUUAGUUAAUUUAGCAAAUCAAGUUAAACUAAAUCAAAAUGAGAAAUUCAACUAGCUAAAAAAAGUUUUCUUUUAUUUACAGCAAAUAUAUACACGCACACACUCUGUCUCUCACACACACACACACAAACACAUGCACAAACACACACUCACUCACACACACACGCACGCACAGACACAAACACACACACACACACACGUUUCACAAACAUCAGUUCUGUCCCGUUCUGUUGUGUAGAUUAGUGUCACGGUUUUCUUGAUGUGUAACUCUUGCAUAUAUAGAGCAUUUUGCUUAUGCUAAUAAUUUAUAAUGCAUUUACUGAUGUUCACACAGAGAAGCUACAUGGAAUAUUUUAACAUAUUAAUCCCUCACACCGUGACAAAUGUACGUGCACUUAAUUUAAUUUAACUACAUACAUUUAAGUAAAAUGUGUCAUUUAUGUAUUUUACAAAUAAAUAAUAAAAUAUG
Carassius gibelio (silver crucian carp) is the source of this 1453-nucleotide long non-coding RNA. RefSeq lists it as uncharacterized. NCBI's taxonomy places the organism in Eukaryota, Metazoa, Chordata, Actinopteri, Cypriniformes, Cyprinidae. The record is from RefSeq and is a predicted model, not a curated record. The transcript has 2 exons.